GAUGAACGCUGGCGGCGUGCCUAAUACAUGCAAGUCGAGCGAACAGACGAGGAGCUUGCUCCUCUGACGUUAGCGGCGGACGGGUGAGUAACACGUGGAUAACCUACCUAUAAGACUGGGAUAACUUCGGGAAACCGGAGCUAAUACCGGAUAACAUGUUGAACCGCAUGGUUCAACAGUGAAAGACGGUCUUGCUGUCACUUAUAGAUGGAUCCGCGUCGCAUUAGCUAGUUGGUAAGGUAACGGCUUACCAAGGCAACGAUGCGUAGCCGACCUGAGAGGGUGAUCGGCCACACUGGAACUGAGACACGGUCCAGACUCCUACGGGAGGCAGCAGCAGGGAAUCUUCCGCAAUGGGCGAAAGCCUGACGGAGCAACGCCGCGUGAGUGAAGAAGGUCUUCGGAUCGUAAAACUCUGUUAUUAGGGAAGAACAAAUGUGUAAGUAACUAUGCACGUCUUGACGGUACCUAAUCAGAAAGCCACGGCUAACUACGUG
RNAcentral lists this ribosomal RNA (497 nucleotides) under uncultured bacterium. Its description in RNAcentral is "partial 16S ribosomal RNA". It matches the Rfam family "Bacterial small subunit ribosomal RNA", at positions 28 to 507 of the family's 1533-position model. The record is from RNAcentral.